This 386-nucleotide transfer-messenger RNA is filed under the name Alphaproteobacteria bacterium. It matches the Rfam family "Alphaproteobacteria transfer-messenger RNA". Rfam says of the family: Bacterial tmRNA, also known as 10Sa RNA or SsrA, is named for its dual tRNA and mRNA-like properties. Its role is to liberate the mRNA from a stalled ribosome. Lineage: Bacteria; Pseudomonadati; Pseudomonadota; Alphaproteobacteria. The record is from RNAcentral.
GCCCUUCAAUCAUCAAUCUUUGAUGUCUAUAUUGGUCCGGCCGGCGUGCCGGCUAUGGCGAUAAAUGGCCUGUGUAAUAAGCGGAUCGGACCCGGGGGCGGUACCCGGCGGCUCCACCAGAGGCAUCCCAGACGCAGCCGGAAACCGGCCAACCUACAGGAUGCCUGCGGCGGGGCCGAAAUAGGAUCGACGAACGUGUAAAGACUGCGCUUUUGCCCGGAUGGCCUCCGUUAUUGGGCCAACCCUGAAUAGUUGCCAACGACAACUACUCGGAAGAGUUCGCUCUGGCUGCGUAACGCAGCUCGCGUGAAUUCGCAUUUGAAGUCCUAGCCUCUUUCCAAGGUUAGGCGGGGCCCCCCGGCGCCUGGCAACAGAAGCCGGGGACU